Molecule: unclassified non-coding RNA, 367 nt
Filed under: uncultured Microglossum
Lineage: Eukaryota; Fungi; Ascomycota; Leotiomycetes; Myxotrichaceae
Description: sequence contains ITS2
Rfam family: 5.8S ribosomal RNA (bases 1-154)
Source: RNAcentral
AACUUUUGGCAACGGAUCUCUUGGUGCUGGCAUCGAUGAAGAACGCAGCGAAAUGCGAUAAGUAAUGUGAAUUGCAGAAUUCAGUGAAUCAUCGAAUCUUUGAACGCACAUUGCACCCUCUGGCAUUCCGGGGGGUAUGCCUGUUCGAGCGUCAUUACAACCCUCAAGCCUUGCUUCGUGUUGGGUGCCACCUGUCACACGGUGAAUCUCAACAUCAGUGGCGGUGCGGCUUGGCUUCAAGCAAAUUAACUCUUCUCGCUCCGGCGCUCAUGCGGCAUUACUGCCAACAACCUCAAACACAUCAGAGGUUGUGGUCGUAUCAGGUAGGGAUACCCGCUGAACUUAAUCAUAUCAAUAAGCGGUGGCU